RNAcentral lists this ribosomal RNA (440 nucleotides) under uncultured bacterium. Its description in RNAcentral is "partial 16S ribosomal RNA". It matches the Rfam family "Bacterial small subunit ribosomal RNA", at positions 338 to 795 of the family's 1533-position model. The record is from RNAcentral.
CCUACGGGAGGCAGCAGUGGGGAAUAUUGGACAAUGGGGGGAACCCUGAUCCAGCGACGCCGCGUGAGUGAAGAAGGAUUUCGGGAUGGAAAGCUCCAUCAGCAAGGAAGAAAAUGACGGUACCUGACUAAGAAGCCCCGGCUAACUACGUGCCAGCAGCCGCGGUAAUACGUAGGGGGCAAGCGUUAUCCGGAUUUACUGGGUGUAAAGGGAGCGUAGACGGUGUAGCAAGUCUGAUGUGAAAGGUCGGGGCCCAACCCCGGGACUGCAUUUGAAACUGUUGAACUGGAGUACAGGAGAGGUAGGCGGAAUUCCUGGUGUAGCGGUGAAAUGCGUAGAUAUUACGAGGAACCCCAGUUGCGAAGGCGGCUUACUGGACUGUAACUGACGUUGAGGCUCGAAAGCGUGGGGAGCAAACAGGAUUAGAUACCCGGGUAGUC